This 462-nucleotide ribosomal RNA is filed under the name uncultured bacterium. RNAcentral describes it as "bacterial SSU rRNA". It matches the Rfam family "Bacterial small subunit ribosomal RNA", at positions 29 to 534 of the family's 1533-position model. The record is from RNAcentral.
AACGAACGCUGGCGGCAUGCCUAACACAUGCAAGUCGAACGAGACCUUCGGGUCUAGUGGCGCACGGGUGCGUAACGCGUGGGAAUCUGCCCCUUGGUUCGGAAUAACAGCGAGAAAUUGCUGCUAAUACCGGAUAAUGACGUAAGUCCAAAGAUUUAUCGCCAAGGGAUGAGCCCGCGUAGGAUUAGCUAGUUGGUGUGGUAAAAGGCGCACCAAGGGCGACGAUCCUUAGCUGGUCUGAGAGGAUGAUCAGCCACACUGGGACUGAGACACGGCCCAGACUCCUUCGGGAGGCAGCAGUGGGGAAUAUUGGACAAUGGGCGAAAGCCUGAUCCAGCAAUGCCGCGUGAGUGAUGAAGGCCUUAGGGUUGUAAAGCUCUUUUACCCGGGAUGAUAAUGACAGUACCGGGAGAAUAAGCUCCGGCUAACUCCGUGCCAGCAGCCGCGGUAAAGUGACUACUG